RNAcentral lists this transfer RNA (75 nucleotides) under Cordylochernes scorpioides. RNAcentral describes it as "tRNA-Thr". It matches the Rfam family "tRNA". From Rfam's summary of the family: Transfer RNA (tRNA) molecules are approximately 80 nucleotides in length. Their secondary structure includes four short double-helical elements and three loops (D, anti-codon, and T loops). The record is from RNAcentral. Lineage: Eukaryota; Metazoa; Arthropoda; Arachnida; Pseudoscorpiones; Chernetidae.
GUCCAGGAUAGCCUAGUGGACAUGGCAUCUGCCCGGUAAGCGGAACGUUGUGGGUUCGAUUCCCGCCCCUGGACA